UGAACCUGCGGAAGGAUCAUUACAGAAUGAAAAGUGCUUAACUGCAUUUUUUCUUACACAUGUGUUUUUCUUUUUUUGAAAACUUUGCUUUGGUAGGCCUUCUAUAUGGGGCCUGCCAGAGAUUAAACUCAACCAAAUUUUAUUUAAUGUCAACCGAUUAUUUAAUAGUCAAAACUUUCAACAACGGAUCUCUUGGUUCUCGCAUCGAUGAAGAACGCAGCGAAAUGCGAUAAGUAAUAUGAAUUGCAGAUAUUCGUGAAUCAUCGAAUCUUUGAACGCACAUUGCGCCCUUUGGUAUUCCAAAGGGCAUGCCUGUUUGAGCGUCAUUUCUCCCUCAAACCCUCGGGUUUGGUGUUGAGCGAUACGCUGGGUUUGCUUGAAAGAAAGGCGGAGUAUAAACUAAUGGAUAGGUUUUUUCCACUCAUUGGUACAAACUCCAAAACUUCUUCCAAAUUCGACCUCAAAUCAGGUAGGACUACCCGCUGAACUUAAGCAUAUCAAUAAGCGGAGGAA
This 513-nucleotide ribosomal RNA is filed under the name Lodderomyces parapsilosis. Its description in RNAcentral is "eukaryotic LSU rRNA". The stretch from base 173 to 326 matches the Rfam family "5.8S ribosomal RNA". Lineage: Eukaryota; Fungi; Ascomycota; Pichiomycetes; Serinales; Debaryomycetaceae. The record is from RNAcentral.